CCUACGGGAGGCAGCAGUGGGGGAUAUUGCACAAUGGGGGAAACCCUGAUGCAGCGACGCCGCGUGGGUGAAGAAGUAUUUUGGUAUGUAAAGCCCUAUCAGCAGGGAAGAAAGAAAACGGUACCUGACUAAGAAGCCCCGGCUAACUACGUGCCAGCAGCCGCGGUAAUACGUAGGGGGCGAGCGUUAUCCGGAUUCACUGGGUGUAAAGGGAGCGUAGACGGCCGUGCAAGCCAGGAGUGAAAGCCCGGGGCCCAACCCCGGGACUGCUCUUGGAACUGUGCGGCUGGAGUGCGGGAGGGGCAGGCGGAAUUCCUGGUGUAGCGGUGAAAUGCGUAGAUAUCAGGAGGAACACCGGCGGCGAAGGCGGCCUGCUGGACCGCGACUGACGUUGAGGCUCGAAAGCGUGGGGAGCGAACAGGAUUAGAUACCCUGGUAGUC
Molecule: ribosomal RNA, 441 nt
Filed under: uncultured bacterium
Lineage: Bacteria
Description: partial 16S ribosomal RNA
Rfam family: Bacterial small subunit ribosomal RNA
Source: RNAcentral